CCUACGGGAGGCAGUAGUGAGGAAUAUUGGUCAAUGGACGAGAGUCUGAACCAGCCAAGUAGCGUGAAGGAUGACUGCCCUAUGGGUUGUAAACUUCUUUUAUAAAGGAAUAAAACGAGGCACGUGUGCCUUUUUGCAUGUACUUUAUGAAUAAGGAUCGGCUAACUCCGUGCCAGCAGCCGCGGUAAUACGGAGGAUCCGAGCGUUAUCCGGAUUGAUUGGGUUUAAAGGGAGCGUAGAUGGGUUGUUAAGUCAGUUGUGAAAGUUUGCGGCUCAACCGUAAAAUUGCAAUUGAUACUGGCAGUCUUGAGUACAGUUGAGGUAGGCGGAAUUCGUGGUGUAGCGGUGAAAUGCUUAGAUAUCACGAAGAACCCCGAUUGCGAAGGCAGCUUACUAAACUGUGACUGACAUUGAUGCUCGAAAGUGUGGGUAUCAAACAGGAUUAGAUACCCUUGUAGUC
Molecule: ribosomal RNA, 460 nt
Filed under: uncultured bacterium
Lineage: Bacteria
Description: partial 16S ribosomal RNA
Rfam family: Bacterial small subunit ribosomal RNA
Source: RNAcentral